AGUCGAACGGACUUAAUCGAUUCUUUUAGAUUCGAAGCGGUUAGUGGCGGACCGGUGAGUAACACGUAAGCAACCUGCCUAUUAGAGGGGAAUAACAGUGAGAAAUCACUGCUAAAACCGCAUAUGCCGUGAACAUCGCAUGAUGAAAACGGGAAAAGAGCAAUCUGCUAAUAGAUGGGCUUGCGUCUGAUUAGCUAGUUGGUGUGGUAAAGGCAUACCAAGGCAACGAUCAGUAGCCGGACUGAGAGGUUGAACGGCCACAUUGGGACUGAGAUACGGCCCAGACUCCUACGGGAGGCAGCAGUCGGGAAUAUUGCGCAAUGGAGGAAACUCUGACGCAGUGACGCCGCGUAUGGGAAGAAGGUUUUCGGAUUGUAAACCAUUUUAGACAAGGAAGAAACAAGACAGUACUUGUAGAAUAAGCUCCGGCUAACUACGUGCCAGCAGCCGCGGUAAUACGUAGGGAGCAAGCGUUAUCCGGAUUUAUUGGGUGUAAAGGGUGCGUAGACGGGAAGGUAAGUUAGUUGUGAAAUCCCUCGGCUCAACUGAGGAACUGCGACUAAAACUGCUUUUCUUGAGUGCUGGAGAGGAAAGUGGAAUUCCUAGUGUAGCGGUGAAAUGCGUAGAUAUUAGGAGGAACACCAGUGGCGAAGGCGACUUUCUGGACAGUAACUGACGUUGAGGCACGAAAGUGUGGGGAGCAAACAGGAUUAGAUACCCUGGUAGUCCACACCGUAAACGAUGGAUAC
RNAcentral lists this ribosomal RNA (749 nucleotides) under uncultured bacterium. RNAcentral's name for it is "bacterial SSU rRNA". It matches the Rfam family "Bacterial small subunit ribosomal RNA", at positions 60 to 816 of the family's 1533-position model. The record is from RNAcentral.